RNAcentral lists this ribosomal RNA (54 nucleotides) under Nephroma isidiosum. Its description in RNAcentral is "partial 26S ribosomal RNA". Lineage: Eukaryota; Fungi; Ascomycota; Lecanoromycetes; Peltigerales; Nephromataceae. The record is from RNAcentral.
CACGAUUGACCUCGGAUCAGKAGGGAUACCCGCUGAACUUAACAUAUCAUCGAA